AGUGAACGCUGGCGGUAGGCCUAACACAUGCAAGUCGAACGGCAGCACAGUAAGAGCUUGCUCUUACGGGUGGCGAGUGGCGGACGGGUGAGGAAUACAUCGCAAUCUACUUUUUCGUGGGGGAUAACGUAGGGAAACUUACGCUAAUACCGCAUACGACCUACGGGUGAAAGCAGGGGAUCUUCGGACCUUGCGCGAGCGAACGAGCCGAUGUCGGAUUAGCUAGUUGGCGGGGUAAAGGCCCACCAAGGCGACGAUCCGUAGCUGGUCUGAGAGGAUGAAGACGCCCACUGGGACUGGGACACGGUCCAGGCUCCUAGGGGAGGCAGCAGUGGGGAAUAUUGGAAACAGGGCGCAAGCCUGAUCCAGCCGUGCCGCGUGGGUGAAGCAGGCCUUCGGGUUGUAAAGCCCUUUUGUUGGGGAAGAAAAGCAGCAGGUUAAUCCCCCGCUGUUCUGACGGUACCCAAAGAAUAAGCACCGGCUAACUUCGUG
This 492-nucleotide ribosomal RNA is filed under the name uncultured bacterium. RNAcentral's name for it is "partial 16S ribosomal RNA". It matches the Rfam family "Bacterial small subunit ribosomal RNA", at positions 29 to 507 of the family's 1533-position model. The record is from RNAcentral.